RNAcentral lists this long non-coding RNA (1284 nucleotides) under Homo sapiens (human). Its description in RNAcentral is "uncharacterized LOC105370295, transcript variant 3 (LOC105370295)". The record is from RNAcentral. Lineage: Eukaryota; Metazoa; Chordata; Mammalia; Primates; Hominidae.
GCGUGACACAAAUUUGGCCCCGAGGGAGCUCCAUGUGCCUGAGUCCCAGGAGCCCUAGAUGCCAGCGACAGCUUGUCACCAGGCCUGCGACGCCAAUGGGCGGGAGUCGGCGGAGCUCAGGACACUGACGACGGGCCUGGGGGAAAGCGGUCCCCACACAGCCCGGGGCCAGAGGAGCGGGCUGCCAGGGUCAGACGGAGGAAGACCGCGGGAAACAGACUGGACGUGCAGGGAAAGGUCCAGUCCCACCCGCGGGUGCAGGGAACAGCCUGUGGGGAGGGGACCCAGGGCCGCGUGGGAAGAGUCAGGGAGCUUAGGUGGACCGCCCGGCAGGAAGAGAGGGGAAGGCUGAGCAGUGAAGGGGUCCCCAAGUCAGCCAAGGCAGAGUUCCCAGGUGUCAUGAGGACUGGACAUGGGUCUAUCAGGACCAUCGGCAUGAUGUCAGCCAAGGAUCUCGUGGCCUGCCUCUGCCAAGGGGGGACCAGCACCUUGUCCUGAGCACUUCCAGCCUCCCAUUGCCUUCAACCUGGCUGCAUUCAGCUGCCAUGCCCCUACCUCCUGAUGUGGCCAGCACCCUCCAGGACUUCAUCUAGGUGCACCCAAAGGCCGAGGACGUUGCUGGCCAGCAGGAAAUUCCUGGUGCAUCCAGGAAGACUUCCAAGAGGUGGUGGAACAGGGGGCGCCACACCCAGACAGCUGUGUGUAACUGUGCAGCUUCGGGCUGCUGCAGGUGCUGGCCGGACUGUGUUCUGGGCACACUGGACUGUGUCACUGCAUGGAGGCUGUUGCCGGAGGAGGAAGUGCAGGCCCCAAGGCCUAUGUGCCUGGAAACCAGCUGGGGCUGCUGCAGGAGGAGGGCUGCAGGAUGCUCCAGCUCAGACCUGACUCAGGGUUUUAGAGGGCACAGGGCAUAAAGCUGUGGACAUAGACAGCCCUACUGCGCAGGAAGAGCAUAAACCAGCCAGAGGGCAUGCAUGGGGGCUGCUGUUGCAUUCUGGUCUCCUUUGAGGUAGGGAAAGAUGUGUUUCUUUCUAUUUUAUGGGUGAGCAAACUGAGGCAGAGUGGUGGAGUGAUUUCCCCCAGCAUCGAUGGCAGAUUUAGCUCCAGGGCUUAGAUUUUAGGAUCCUCCCUCUCAAAUACCAUGAUGUAUCAUGGGCUUUUUCUCCACAGAAAAUUAGAAACUCAGAAAUGGAAAGGAACAAUGAAACUUACCCAUUCUCCCACUGCUCACAUUUCCUUCUGGUCUUUUUGUGUGUGCAUAUAAAAUAUAUCUCAGAAAAUUGA